ACUGGGUUAUUUGUCUGUAAAUAUGCUGAUAUUUAUAUUUACUACUUAUCUUAAUCUGAAAUAAGCUAAGGAUCGCUUAAGUAUUUUGCUUUUUGUUUUUGGUUUUAUUGGAUGUUUUCACUGGGCUUUGUUCCUUUGAUGCUUCAGACUGCAGUUGUUCCUUUCAAUUAAUAAUUCCUGAAGAUCCACAUUGUAAUAAAAAUACUAUGAUAAGAAGUGCCUUCGGAAUAGCUGAUGAUAGGAGUGGUCAGUGAAAACAUUUUCUAUGUAAGCAGACAGUUACAACUUGACAAAGGUCACAGAGGCAAAUUCACUGUGAAACAGAGCAACACUGGAGACGGUAACGGGAGGAAUUCUGAUGGUGUAAGUCUCCCAUCGAGGAACCACUCAGAUUGUUUCUGGAAAUAGAUUAAAUUAAAUUCGCAAUAAUUGUAGAAUGCCUGAAUUUAUUUAUAAUUGGCUUUAUUAUUGGUAACAAUCAGUGUGGUUUUCAUCAGAUGAUUUUCAAGAGACAAAAAUUAACUUUGACAUUCAUACAUUCUGCAGCACUGUAAAUGAGAUGUGCAUUUGAUCCAACACAAAAUAAUGAUUGGUAAUGAAUAUGAAUAUUUUACAAUUUGUAGGGUGGGAAAGAUGUGUGUGUUAAGCAUUUGAUUUUGUUACUUGAUUCUAGCCUUCUCUUUAAAACUUCAUACCUGUACAGGUUUCUUUUGUGAUCAGUCCCUAUUUUCGAAUGAACUUGCUAAGAAAGAUGACCCAUCUGGAUCAUGCUAUAAUAUGAAAAUGCACUGUUGAAGGAUAAGCAGUGUGGAACUUUUUUUUGGACUGGUGGGAAUUAAACAGGGGCCUCUUAUGAGGUAGACAACCGCUCUCCUGCUGUACUCUUCUCCGACAAAAAUCUAACGUUUUUUUUGUAUUGGGAAUCGAAUUGAGGACCUUGCGCUUGCCAGGCAGGAUACUGGUGCCACUGAGCUAUAUUCCCAGCAAGAACCAUCUAACUUUUAAACUAUAGAGUUCUACUAGAUGUGAAAAUGAAGGAAGUAUUCAAUACAGUGUUACCACAUUCUAUAUCUUAUUGAUCUUAAUUUCAGCUAAUUAAAAAAAAACAUUACGAAGGAAAUCAGGAAGCAAAGAUCCCAUUUGCUAUGUAAAGAAGGUAUUUUUAGGCUGUUUGCUUAUACAGUAAAUGCUGCCCUUUCUGAUUCAAAUGGAAAUGGGAAAUCAAAGUGCAGGAUUGUAACAUGAUUAAUAAGUUAGGCUGUGUGAUGUUAACAAGUCUUUUGUCAGUCUAGUGGUAUGAGGAAGGAGUCUCUCCGAGGAUUUGUGAGGCUUUUAUCAAUUUAUGUUGGAAAUGAAAAUUCACAGGAAAAUUCACAGGAAAAUUUUCAUAGUGAAGCUGUUAGUGUUAGUCAUGGGCUUAUGGUAACUUGUAAACUGUCGGUAAAUUAUUGGUUAGAUUUAGAGCGUGUUUGAUAGAGCUGUCUGAAACCAGAUGUAGUUAAUGUACAGUCCAGUGUGCUGCUGUUCACCUUGGUUAAAUACUUUCAUUUACCCUGCCAGGAGUUUGCCUGUGAUUUGUUGGAGCUGCGCAAUUGAGAUUAUGUUUAUACACCUCAGGGGGGAAAUAUGUGUUAUGUUUUUCUUUACUAUGGGAAGAUGACAAUCCAAUGAUUCUGAAAAUAAUAGUGGCAUUUAGCAUGGAAAUUGUCUAGUGAAAUAUUGAUUCCCCUUCUGAGUAAACCUCAGCUACUUGUCCAGGAUGGGAGUAAGAAUGGCUUUUGUUGUGAAUUCAAUAAGAAAAGAUUUUGUAAAAGUCAUUUUGUCUUAUUCCAUUGUUUUGUGAGCUAUUCCUGUCUCUUUCUUUUUCCUUUCUUCUGUCAUCUUUCUUUUCCUUUCAUUUUUAUUCUCUGUUUAUUUUUUUUUGUUGUUGUUCUUUUCUUUUCCUUCUUCCCUGUCUCUAUUUAGUAGCUGUCUGUGACUGAGGUAAAUUUUUGGAUGAAAUAUUUAUUUGAAUUUUGGAGUAAAUAUGAUUAUACACAUAUUAUACAGAUGCAUACACAUAGGUAAACAAGAAAUUAGGUAUUUCAUAGGCUUUUCCGUAAUCUUUUUCUCUCUGUGCAUUCUUUCUAACCUAAACAAUUACAAACAUGCAUAUCAGAUUUUGAAUGAGGAAAUAGAAAUAAUUAUUAUUUAAUUUUAUCGUUUCAUAAAAAUGUAAAGCAACUAUAAGAUUCAGUGUAAAAAUCAUUAAACUUUCUUUGGUUGAACUGAUGCUUUUAUUAUUAUAUAAUGGUCAUAUUGCCUUUAGGUUUCUUUGAAUCAAAAGUUAUAUGUAGAUUUAUGUCUCUUCAGAUUUCUUUGGACUGGAAGUCAUACUUUGGACCUACUACUCAGUCUGUCUGGUUGUGUAGUUGUGGACAUUUAUUCCAAGUCUCUGUGUGGUCACUAGGUGAUACGCAUCUUGGAGAAUACAUCUGUUCUUGAGGUCACAAACUGGUGAGAGAGAUCUUUUCACCUUAGAAUGGACAGUUAUGCCACAUUAAAAUAAAAGCAUAAACCACAUUCGAUUUUCUCCAAGCAGAAAUGAUUAAGAAAAAAUGAGCUAUAAUGUAUUUAGGUUUAUGAGUACUUAGGAAUUUUUCUUGGGACUUUGAUUCAGAGAAUUCAGUUUAAAGUUUGCUUCUAUUUUGCUUUAGAAUACACUGAAAGAGACAAACAGUGUGUGUUUUGGCAGUUUACAGUAAUAAUGCAGCCUCUGUUAUUUGCCCAAAUAACCUAAACUGAGUUGAGUGUCUUGGUGAUUAAGAACUUUUUUCCAUAACUUGCUUCGAGUAUAAUUUAAGAAACCUAGCAUUCAGAGUCGGAUACAAAAGACAACUGGUGAUAGGCUGUCAGUUAGAUUCUGCAGAGCAGAAGGAUGGAAGUGUCAUUUGAGAUGGGUCUUUGAUUUGAAAGAGGACACUUGCUUUCAUUUAGGUUAUUAAUCUGUUUCAUCUCCAACCCCUUCUCCACUCAUAAUCAUCUUCAUUCCUGUCUCUCCUUAUGAGAUGACCAAAUCAAGACUAUAAUUCAUUCAAUAAAAUGUGACAAACCAUAUAUCAUAUUUCAAGGCUUUACAAGUCCCACCCAUCUUACCACCUGGAUGUGUUUCACCUUCAUGCGUCGUUUUGGACAAGGAGGAAAAGGGAAAAGCGCUAUUCUGCUUUGGACUCAGAUUUAAUAAAAUAUUCCUGAGACUUUAAUAAGUAUUAAAGCUGUUAAUAACAUGACUAGAGAGGAUGAAAAGCUAAAAAUAGUCUCUGGGUUGAAGGUGAUAUUCUUGGGCAACACUGUACUGUGAUGAUUGAGAUUAUAGACCGCAGAGCUAUCCUGACCAGGGUCUAAUACCAGCUCCUCUCUCUUAAUAGAUGAGGGGCUGUGGGUAAGUUCAUUUAAAUGAUGUCAAUUUCUUUACCUGUAAAAUGGGAGAUUUUACUCUGUACCCAAUUCAUCUAGUUUUUUUUUUCUCUGUUUCUUAUUUCAUACUGAGGAUUGAAGCCAGGGCCUCACUGAAGUACAUCCCAACCCUACUUGAAGUUUUGAAGCAUGUUCUCAGUAAUUGCUCAAAGUGGCCUGGAACUUGUAGUUCUCCUGCCUAGCCUCCUGCAGAGCUGGGACUAGAGGCAUGGGCCUCCACACCUGGUUUACCUAGUUUUUUUAGUCAAUGAACAAUGUAAUGUGUUUCCAUGCUUUAAAAUCUUGUGUUUGCUGUUCUUUUUGGUUGUAGUAUUGUUUUAGUCAUCACUUAGCUCAAAGUUUGCUGGAGUGAUAUCUCAUUCCUUCUUGUAGGUAUUUGAACUGAAAGUAUUUUAAUAUGUCUCCAAGUGAGAUUAGUGCUAUGAGAUAAGUACUACAUUAUACUAUACUCUUUUAGUCUGCUGCUUUCUAAGAAUACAUGCUAUACUCUUCAGAAAGAAUGAUGACAUUGACCUAAAGUGAAUCUUUGUUAACCCAUUGCCCCUACCUUCUUAUCGACUGUCUUAUUCUCCUCCUGGGUGCAUCCCUCUUUCAUGUGUAUUCCUAUCCAUGUACAGAUACAUACAUCCAUAUACAGAUACCUGUAUAUGUAUAUAUAAUGUGUAUUUAGAUCUUUAGUGAUUCUCCUCGUGUUCCAAGAGCAGAGCACUGAGGAAAGUUAGGUUUGGAAGAACCUUUGAUGAGUCAAACCAGUUCUUACCUUUUGAUAUCUCAGUAUAAUCCUGGGAUACUAAUAGAGAUGUGAAUGUGAAUUAUUUGAUGUGAUUACAAAUCCUUGGCGGACAAAAAGGUUGUUAAGUAUCUGCUUUCUUGUGUUUUCCCAAUGGAGAAGGCUAGUUAUAAAGUCCUAGGGUUAGAAAUUGCUGGCGUUACCCCAGGGACUCUUGACUCUUAGCUUGGGGACUUAUUUCACUUAGUCACAUGAGGAGCCUAUGCCAAGGAGCUAAUGAAGUACUGGUUGUCAUCAUGUGCCUGUUUCUGAAGCAUUUUAUCCUAUAGAAAAUCCUUUUAAAUUCAUGAUUGCCCAGAUUUGGAAUGAAUCCUCAGCAGAUGAAUGGAUAAAGUGUUGUGUUUGUACAUGAUGGAAUAUUACUCAGUCUUUAAGCUCCCAUUGUUUGUGACAACCUGGGUGAACCUGGAGAACAUUACACUGAGUGGUGUAAAUCAGGCAAAGACCAAUUUUUACAUGUGGAAUCUAAACAGUUUGAACUCAUAGAAUCAAAGAGUGGAACAGAGAUUACCAGUAACCAGGAUAGGAUGGGGAUGGCGUGUUCGCCAAAGAGUACAAAGGUCAGUUAGUAUGAAUAAAUUUUAUUGUACAGUCUGGUGACUAUAGUUAAUAUGAUACUGUAUUCUUGAUAAUUGCUGAGCGUACUGUUUAGAGCUACUCACCAAAAAAUGUAAUUAUAGGAAGUGAGAAAUAUGAUAAAUCAUGAUAAAUAUGAUAAAUUGAUUUAUUCAUUCCAUAAUAUAUGCAGUCAAAAUGUCACAUUGGAUAGCAUAAAUAUAUGCAGUUUUAUCAAUUAUGUUAAAUUAAAAUUUUCUUAAAUAUUCCUUUCAUAAUUUGAUUCUUUGCAUUCCUGUCCCCUAAAUUUUAUUUCUUUUGAGUUUCUUCUGGAACUCCUAAUCUUAAUAGGAAAGCUGCAUCUGUAUUUUUUUUUUUUUUUGUUCAACUUAUUUUCCAUUUCUAAGUCUGGUAGUUGUUGUCUGUAUUUUUCAUGAUAUCCAGAGGAAGAAACGGAAUUUGGGUGAUUGCCUCCAAUUAUUAAAUAUUUAGUGUGAAAUGGCCACUUUGAAAUACACUUCCAUGAAAGAAAGGAAAUUACAAUGGAAAUUAAGAGGAAAGGAGAUAUUGAAGAACGGCAUAGGAACAUAUCGGAGAGAAGGUCAUAUAUUGGCUACGUGGUAUUUUCAUUUUGAAGAGACGUUUGAAUGGAAGAUAUUAACAGUGACGGAUGAAUCCAUAAUUAUUUUCUAUCCUGAUUUUCUUAUUACCACCUACUAUUUGAUGUUCAAGCAAUGUUCUCUGAGGUAUUUAUUCUAGUCAUGAUUAAAUCUUUAAUUUCCUUCUCUUCUUCUUUCCUUAUUCUUUCUUUCAGCAAAUGCAUUUAGUAGGUACUAACAGGAGGAGAGAACAGAAACAACAGUAACAGAAAGCAUAAAACUUUUCAGAAUGUUUCUAAUGUAAACACUUGAGAAACAAAGUGGGACACAAUUUUCAGUGUCUCAAAACAUGUCUUCAGGGCUGGGGGUUUAGCUCAGUGGCAUAAGUGCCUGCCUUGAAAGCAGGCAGUCGUGAGUUCGAUCCCCGGUACCGAUAAAAAGGAAAAAGACAAAAAAAAAAAAAAAAAAAAAAACCCAAAACAAAACAUGUCUUCUCCUAAAUACCCCUAAGUAAUGCAAAUAGUUAUGUGAAUAGAUGAAUUAUAAAGCUAUCCUACUGGAAAUUAUGAAACAUCUAUGUGACACGUCUUUAAGAAAUUUACUUAGGUAUUUUGGUAGAAAUUGCUAGUCUUUUUUGUUUACUUGGGGAUUUAUUAACUUUAAAAUUAGCUCGCAGUGUCUUAGGGAAGACCGAAGUUAUUUUACUUUCUGAUCUGUAAUUAACAGUGAAGUACAUGUGUAUGUGUAUACGUCUGUGUGUAUGUAUGAAUUGGGAGUAGCUGUUAAAUAGAAAGGACAUGAAUCACAAAUUGGCAUGCUUGACCUGAAAGGGAUUGAAAUGCUUCAUUCAAUUAGUAGGUAUUAUAAAUUUCCUGUGAAUGAAAUUAUUAUAUAACCUAUUUGUUAGAAUCCCACUGAAAGUUCUUUUUCAGAUGCAUUUAUUUUCCCCUGCUUGCUAAAAGGGCAGAAUUUAGGUAAGAUUCUUUAAAAGGAAGUUUCUAAAAAUAUGCUGGAUACCUGGCCUUCAUUCCUCAACAUGUCUGGUUGAGUGAAACCAUUCUAUAUGUUGUUUUAAAUGAAAUUUUCAUAUUUAAUAUUCUUAAGAAAACUUCCUCAUAAAAAUGAGCAGAAAUUAGCCAGAGAGUUAUUUGAAUAGAAAAAGGUCAACAAAGAAAAAAUACAUUUAAAAAAAAACAAAACAAAACAAAGAUUAAUUCAUCUUUUUGGACAAAGAAGGUGCAUAAUUCGGAAAUAUAAAAUUAUGCUCUGCAGGUUCAUUAACCAUUAGGUUUUUUUAAGUCAGCUGUGGCUAUGUGUGUAAGGGGAAACAACCACAAAAUUAGGCUUUAAAGACUUACAGAUAAGCAAACUUUUAUAACACUGAACUCCAAAAAGGAGCUGUUUAUGCUUGCACGAGAGCUGCAAUGAUCUUGUAAAAGAGGGAGAGCGGCCAGCCCAGCUCACUCUGAUUUGACCCUUUCAGCAGGGAGAAGAGGGCAGAGCAGCUCUGACAAGUGCCCUACUUUUCUGUAUUUUCUACUGAAAGGUUGACCUGAAGCAACAUGAGGUCUUCUUUUCUUCUUGCUUUUCACCCUCCUCCACAUUUGCUCUCUCCUUUCAUCUUUGCCUCCAUGAUUAUCAUUGAGUACAGGUACAACUGGGCCGCUGAAAAAGGUUUUUCUUCUAGUUUGUGACAAUAUACCAUUGUUUUUUAACUGGUAACACUGGAGGAGACUAAUGAAAGCUGCAAGGAAUCUAUUUAUUACCACUGAAUAUGAUUUAUAAUUUGCAACUUGGGGUGAAAAAAAUAAUGAAAAGAUCCACUUAAAAAAGAGAGUAAAUGGGACAGCUUCUUUUCAUUCAGCCAGAGGUUAGCUGUCAUGUUUUAAGAGUUUAGUGACAUAUCACUAAGCUCCCUUUUAGCACUCUUGACCAUUCUUUGAAAGGGCUGGAUACAUGAUGAAUUGCUCAGAUAUAACAGGUAGCAGUAUUAAAACCAAUGACACAUUAAAGAAAAGGACAAGGAAUUGUUUUAAAGAAUUAAAAGUGGAAAAUGGCAUGAGACUAUCAUUGUUCAGGGUGUUGUGGAGAAUUGUUUGAGUGGAGAACAGAAGGGCAGCAGCAGUUGUCCGUGCAAGAAUGGUGACAGGUAGUGACAUAGUGACAGUGUUUAGGGAAAUGUAUUGAAUUAUUUUAAGCUUGUUAUUGGAGCUUCUGUUGCUACAUCGUUUUUCCAGAUGUUCCCUUUGUUUUCACCUCUUUUACCUGCCUAACCUACACAGGGUAGAACAGAAAUAAAGGGUAGAAGAGCCUGAAGCCUGGCUUCCUAGUCAGUGCUCUUUGAUCCGUUGGGAAACAGUGUGACAUGAGAAAUGUCACAUCUGAAGUGCAAGUCCAGCAGUUUACCUGGGCCAGGGAGUAACGUGGGGUAACAUAAUAAGAGGAGGUGUGUUAAGGGCUAGGACUGUGCCUGUGUAGAGUGCACUGGGUUUAUUUGUUUUGUUUUGUUUUCAUCUUUCUUUGGUACCAGGGAUCGAACUCACGACUGCCUGCUUGCAAGGCAGGCGCUUAUGCCGCUGAGCUAAAUCCCCAGCCCUGAGUGCACUAGGUUUUGCCACAGCAUUGUGAAAGUCUGAGGGCUGCCUCACUGAUGGAACCUCAGGGUGAUCAUUUCACUUCUUCAUACCUUACUUUCCUUGAUAGUAAAAUAAGGUAUCGUUCCAUGCCUGGACUUUUCAAGUUUUUAGCUUAGGCUCAUGAAAUCCUCAUUGUCCACAGUCCUCAGCCUCCCUUUCCCUUCUGGGCCAGAAUUGCCUGCUCUGUUAUCCUUUUGUGUGUAAACUUCCUUACGCAGUGUCUUAGGAGAAAAAUGUCUGGUAAAAAAGAAGCUGGAGAAACUCUGUAGUUGAUUUUUAAGCAUUAUUUCAAUCUAAGUACUGGGGAAUGUUCUUUGCAUCAUUUUUUUCUUUGUAAUCUUGUUUUGGCUUUCCUAUUGCACUUAGUGGUUAAGACAAAGACUUGUGUAGUUAUUAAUGAAAUUAUCACGUUUGCCUUGCUGAAGCUGUAGCAUCAUUCUCAAAAAGAGUAUAACCAAAGGACAGUGUGAAAGAAGGGACUCCAGUCUGCAGCAAGCCUAAACUUUUUUUGUAAAUGAAAAACUUGAAGUGAUUUCUAGAAAAUACUUGAUCUGAGUUAUAUUUGGAGGAUGUAGUUGAGAAUAGGAACUGAUGGGUGGGAUUUAAGUGUAGCUAUAAAAAGAGCAUCAACUGUUGCUCAGAGUAGGUGAGCUCUAAGAGGAGGUCACAGAAACCUGGUAGCAACCGUAUCCAUGGAGGAAAGGGCUUGGAUGCUUAUCCCACUGUAAGGGUAGGGGAGCCUUUGAAAAGAAAAGCUAUGUUAGCAAGCUUUUUAAAAGAAAAGCUUUAAUGGUUCUGGCUCAAAAUAUGAAAUCUUGCUGCUUUUUUUCGGUAAAGCAAAUCAAGCUGAGGUCCGCGAUAGAAGGCACAUGGCGUUUUGCUUUUGUCUUCCCCAUGGAGGUCUGGAAGCACACUAUUGCUUUUAGGCAUGUGAUCAUCAUGCACAGAAUAAUGCUGCUGCCUUCAGUGUGGUUCAGACCUUGAAUGAAAAAUGGUGAUGAUAAUGAGGGUAAUAUUUUGAAGUAGCUGAGGAUCUACAAAUCAUGCUCAUGCUUAAAAAAAAAGAAAUCUCUCCCAAAGAAGUCUGUUAGAACGUUUUGACAGAACAGAUGCUGCUCAAAGAGUACAAACAGAUUUUUAACUGAAAAGAAAAAAAAGAAAAAAGUUAGAGUGGGGGUGGUAGUAAUCGUUAAGGGUACUGUAACGGAAUAUUAAUGACUCCCAAACAGACUCUAUUUUUAAUUUGAUCAUGAAGAAGUGCUGCAGGAUUUUAUAUGCGGGUGCAUCCAUAGAAUUUUGAAUAUUUGUAGGCUUGGAGCAUUCUUUCAAACAACAUAAUAUAUUUCAUUGGAAUUGCUGCUGCUAUCAGUCAAGCAUGAACAUGUAUAAUGGAUAUGAGUUUAAUUGGUCACAUUGUGAAUUGCAACCAUCCUCUUUUUGCUUAUGUGCACCAGAAGGGGGAUGGGUAAAUUCCUCAGGAGUGAUGCACUUCUUUUGGAAGACCUACAAACCAAGCUUAAAAGAAUUGUCACAGCCAAUAACCUGCCCUGUUUGUGGUGUCUUACCAUUAAGUAACAGUGGGAGACAUUUCCAUUUAAAAGCGUUUGUAACUAUCCAGUGAAAAUAUCUCACAAAGGAAAACAGUUUCUUCUUUAGUGGUAGUAAUGCUUCACUAUGUAAACAUCAGUUGUCUUGAAGACUAAGAAAGAUGAAAACAAGUAAAAAAGUAAAAAUUAUAUAAUACAUAGAUGUUACAGAGGGUAUGCAAAGAAUCCUACAGAUUGUAUUCAGACCUUCAUUUAGAGCCUGCUUUUAAUAACCACUACAAUUUUUACGUCAAAAGUUUUGGCCUGAUCUCUUCUCUGGUACACACAAGCUGAUGGCUCUGUAGAGAGGAGUAAGUAUACCAGUAGACCAAGAUUGCUUGAAAUUGAGAUGGAGCUGGGCUCUGCCACUGCUUGGCUCUGAGCCAGUUCUUCUAGCAAUACAAUAGCCGCAUAGAGUUAAUGUUUUGAAAUGCAAGCAUUUAGGUUCUUACUUAAAUGUGCAGUUGAAAUUAUUUUGAUGAAAAAAAAAUUUUUUUUUUCUCUAUUUGACUGUGAAUUCAUUCAAAAGAAGAAUUCAAAGGGAGCGCUGUUCCUCAGAUACGCGUUAGUGGGUAGUAAGAAGUGAUUUGAAAAUGAGAUGAAAAAAAAACAAAAAUGAAACCUGAGAGUCCUUGGUCUCCAAAUGGGAGGACUGGUUUGAGGGAGAGCAGCAAACCUGUGCAGUCAGGGACUUCCCAGAGAAUGGCUGUUAGAGCCAGAGCAGCCACAAAUGGAUGUAUGCAGUGAGUCAUGGAAAAUGUUGCAUUAUGUUUACUUAGCUGAUUAAGGAGAUAGGGAGUGUGAAAGAGAUUUAGAAAGACUGCCAAGAAAACUGUUUUAUAAAAGCUUUUGGCUUUUAAAUAAUUUGCUUCAAUUGCAAGAUACACUGAUACAGAAUUAUUCACUUCUUUGCCCUCAAAUGGUUCUUGAAUUACAUCCUCUGUCAGUGUUGGGGUUUUAUUAUUAUGGUCAGCCUUCUGCACCUGCGAUUUCAACCAACCAUAGAUUAAAAAUAUUUGGGAAAAUGUUUGCAUAUAUGCUAAACAAAUACAGACUUUCUCGUUAUUAUGUCCUCUACAAUAUAGUAUAGCACUGAUUUGCAAUAGCAUUUGCAUUGUUUUACGUAUUAUAAAUCAUCUAGAGACUCUUUGAAGUAUGCAAGAGUGUAUGCAUAGUUUAUAGGCAAGUACCAUUGUUUCUAAGGGACUUGAGCAUCUGCAGUUAUUGGUAUGCUGGGAAAUACGUAUCCUGGAAUCAGUGCAUUAUGGAUACCAAGCAUAGACUAAAAAGUUUUUUUAAAAACAUUUUUUGUUUUUACUGUUCCUUCAAAUUCUCCAUAGAUAGCACCUUAGUUUCAUUGUGUAGAUGUUGGUUUCUCAGAAACACCCAUAGUGGCCAGGUAUGGUGGCCUAGUCCUUCAAUCCCACAGGGUGGGAGGCUGAGGCAGGAGGAUCCUGAGUUAAAGCUAUAUGAAUGGGUUUGGAGACACAGCCCUGAGUAAGACAGGCUGGGUUACUUAGUGAAUUAGUUAGACUCUUUCUCAAAAUAAAACAUAAGAAAAGGGGGUGGGGAUGUAGCUCAGUAUGAAGACCCUGGGUUCAAUUUCCACUACUACCACAAAGCAGAUAAACAAGCAAGAAAGAAAAGUCAAAAGCUAUCUAUCCCUUAGGAGGAGUGUUUGGGGGAUGACACAAGUAUCUAACUGUUACCUUUCCAGUACACCUGGGUUAAAUGCAGUCACAGAUCUAGUUCUCCCCUAUCAUAUCCCAGAUGGUCUAGUGAGAAUUUUGUUACCUGUGCACUUUUCCCCAGAAGUGAACUCACUGUCCAUUUAGAUCCCACUGCUCUUCGAUGAAGACUACAAAGGAAAGUAGUUCUGGAGCAAAUCAUUUAGCUAUGAGGUUGCUUAAUUCUGGAACAAUUAUUCCUUGAGAAUACCAGAUAGGCAAGAUUUUUUUCCCCUCUUCCAUUUAGAAACGAAUCAAAGGUAAAUCUAAAUACCCAGAAUGUUAUUUGAAAGGGUUACUUACAUUUCAGAUUGUUAGUUAUUAUAGUAUAGGUACAAAACGAAAUUCAUGAAGAGUUAUAAAUUUUGACACUAUGUUAAUUUUGAUUACAUAAUUAAUGGUUAUUGCUUGUCACUUGUAUGAAAUUCCUCCCUGCCCUUAUUCUUAAGGACAGAGACUACGUUGUGUUGCUCAUAGUAUCCUUUGCCUCUAAUAUAAUUCCUAAGACAGAACAGAUUUUUGACAAAUACUUGUUGAGGAAAUAAUUGCAGUAAUUAUAGUAAUAACUAAUAAUGACACAGCAGCAAUGAUUCUGACCAUGGAUUAGCUUUGGGAGCAGUGUGUGAUCAAUGUCACACUGAGUGUGUACAUAAUUUCACUUCUGUUUAUCCUGAGAGAGAAGCCAUACCUUUCAUCAGGGCAAACUUUGUUCUCCCCAAAAUUUAUGAGUCAUAGAGGACUCUGCAGCUUGUAGACUAAUGCAUUACUGUUUUGAUUAAAACAAACAAGCCAAUGCCAGCAGCAGCAAAACACUUAGAGGAAUUUUUCCUUCUCCAAAGCACAUGGCUCAUUCAUUGAGGCCCAUCUGUGUGCUAAGGUCUGUGGCUACACAACCCUUAAUAAGACAACAGUUCAUACCUUCAUAUACCUCAGAGCUUGGGAGAGAAAGUGUAAUGAGUGAUUACGCAAAUUAUGAAAUGCUUUGCUUACAAUUUCAUAAUAUAUUAGUUUGAGUAUUGUCUUAGUUACAUUCUUAUCUGUGAGACACAAUGCCUGACACUCACAACUUACAGGAGGAGGAGAGGUUUAUUUUGGCUCACAGUUUGUCCAUACUUGGCUGGCUCUGAGGCUAGCCAUGGCAGAGGAGAACUGCUCAUGACAUGGUAGCAGGACGCACAGAGAGAGAGCGAGGGAGGAAGAAGCGAGAUAGCCCUUUCCAGGCUACGCUCCCAGUUACCCGCUUCCUCUGAUCUGGCUUCACCUCCCAGCAUCGCAUGUAGCUGUAAUCCCAUCAGUGGACUGAUCAGUCGAUGAGUAUCAUACCCCGUGACCCCAAACUACCCCCAAACCUCCCCAAACCCUCACCUGUGAGUACAUGAGGCUUUGGGGGGAAUCUAGAUAUAAACCGUAACAGGUAUGGGAGGCAUACCAUAUUUGGCAAAAGUCAGAUGAAAUUUAGUAGGAUUCAUGAGUUUUCACUUUGGUAAAAGCUGUUCUAAAUAUAUUGGGUGAAACAAAGAUGAGUAAGGCAUGAGUCCUUUCCUGAUGGAAUUUUAACUUAUUAUAGUACUUUUCAACACUGGCUAUACAUUAAAAUCAUUUAGGAUAAGGAAAAAAAUUAGAAGACUGAAAUAUUCAUACUCAAGGGGAAAACUAUUGAAAAAAAAAACAACUUUGGAGAAAGACCUGACACUUGCUUAUCAAACUACCAGAAUAGUUUGUGCUGUCAUUGUUUGUUUGGCUGUUCAUUUUUUAUGCUUUGUUUUUGUAACUUGAACAACUACUUCUAAGACAACAAUAUGUAAUAUAUCAACUAGAGAUGAUUAGUGUUAUUUUUCUGAAAUUUGUAUUAUUUCUACCCUUUUUUCUGUUUUGCUUUUUUAUAAAUAAAAAAUGAUAAUAUACUUAAUGUAUAAUAUUAAACUUUUUAAUGUCUUUGUUAAAAAGAAAACAAAGACACUCAAUGAUCCAACAGUUUAAGAACAAUUAAGUGAUGUGUUAUAGAGAUAAUCACAGCCGCCCCAAAUUGGAAAAAACAUAAACGUUUAACAGGUGGAUACAUAAAUGAAGUGUAUAUGAUAUAUCCACACAGUCCAUUACCACUCAACAAUGACAAAGAAUGGACCAUUCCUACACGCAGCACCAAUGAAGCAAGCAUGACACUAGAACUUUAAACAAUGGUUUUGUUAUAUGACAUUCUAGGGUAGACAAAACUAACAGAUGGUGGUAGGGGAAACCUCAAUGAAGUGAUUUCCUCUAGAGAUGCCAUUAUGGGAAUUUCCUGGGAAUGAACAUGUAACUUGGAGGAAAUAUUAGGGAAAAUGUCACUUGGGAAAAGAUACAAACAAAAGCUUGAUGUCUUCUUCUGCCUGACCCUACCUCUCCCCAAUUUCGAAUAUUCGUGAAUGGGGCUAUGUGUGUUAUUUUAAAGGCAAUCCGAUGAUUAUGGCACCUAUGGGGGCAUGACAGGGAGUAAAGAAAGAUGAAAGAAUACUCAGGGGAUAAGGGGACUGGGAGAACCUUAUCUCUAGUGGACAGGCACACUCAUCUCAGUAGUCAGCCCACUUUUAUUAGCAAACCAGGAGCACAGGAGAAGAGGUGGUGGACUUUGACUGCGGCACAAGGAAAAGUUAAUGAAAAACAAGUUCUUCCCUAUGCCUGGUGCCUGCGUUCUUUACAUCAUCCCCCACAGAUGUUAUCUUGCCUUAAGAGUACCGUGGAUAUGAGUCCUGUCUCUGCAGCCAGGAAGCAUGAGAGCCUUGCAAAUACUUCUGUUGCUAAAGUGAGGUCACACUGUCCUUGAGUCCAUGAGGCCCUAAUCAUGUCACGUGGUCUCCAAUAUAGUAAAAUGUUAUUUCGUAUCCCCUCAUGCUCAACACAUUAAGAUUUAAACUAUCAAGUGAAAUAAAAUACAAAAGUGACUAUAUUUAUUUUCUACUGUUGUCAUAACAGAUUGUCACAAAUGCUGUGACUUGAGAUUAUACGUCAUUCUGUGAGUUCAGUGUUUGGGUUGGCUUGGUUGCUUUUUCUGGUCCAAGUUUCAUAAAGUCAAGUCACGGGUAAAGCAUUUUUUGUGGAGGUGCUGAAGGUGAUUUACUCCAAGUCUGCUCAGGCACUUUGCAGAAUUCAGCUCCAUGAAUUUGUGCGAAUGAAGUCCCAUUUUAUUCCAGGCUAAUAACCAGAGGUCCUUCUCAGCUUCUGGAGGUCACCAGUGUUCCUUUCCUUGUGGUGUGUUUCUUCCAACAGGAAAGCCAGCAGUGACAGACCAAGUCUUUCUCCUUCUGCAGUAGUGCUGAACUCAUUCCCCUACCACUGCCUGCUUUUUGCCUAAUUUCAAUUUGUUUUCCUUUUCUGGUGAUUAUCACAUACACUGAGUGACUGUUCUGCCUUCCUAAUAUACUUUGAAGGGCUGGUAUGAUCACAUUGGGCCCACUUGGGUAAUUCAGUGUAAGCUCCCUGUAUUAAGGUUCACUGAAUGGCAACCAUAAUUCCAUUUCCCAAGUUCCUUCCCAGCAGUGACUAGAUGAAUACUUGACUAAUCAGUAGGUAAUAUGAGUCAGUAUCUAUAGAUCUACAUACGGUGAAGAAUUAUCUAUAGUUGGGGAUUUAGCUCAGCAAUAUAAGCGCCUGCCUGGCAAAUACAAUGUCCUGAGUUUGAUCCCCCGUUCCAAAAAAAAAAAAAGAAUUAUCAGCAAAAUGUGAGGACUUUUGGAAUAAAGACAUUUAGGGAACUACACUGGGGAUGGCCACAUUGAGUUGUCUCUCAAAAAAGCAGUUCUGAUGGAUGGUAUGGAGUCAGAACUGGAGGAUACUGGGAGGGGGUAACAGUCUCAAUGCCAUUGUGGAGAUGGUAGGGCGAUGGUGUGUGGUGCGCUUAGAGCAACCCUGAUCUAGGACCUCAGUCCACGAAUACUAAUAAUUAUUUUCACUGAGUUGUUCAGGUCUCUGUAAUGUAAAAAUCAGAUUUUUUUAGGUCAAAGCAAAAGCGUGGGAAUGUCAAAGUUUGUGAUUAUUUAGUGGGCAGAAAUAAUACUUUAAAAAGUGGGAUUCUUUUUUCUUUAUUCUUCCUUCUCCUUUCUCUCUUGUUUUGUGUAUUACCUUUUCUGCUGCUAUUAGAACUAAAUAGAAUUACAUAUGGAUCCUCUGGAAAGAUAUUCCCAUUAUUUCUAAACUUCCUGAAUCCCAAAUUUACUGGAGGGUGGCCUUACAUAAAAGUAUACCACUCUCACCUUAUAUUGCCCCACAGGACUUAGUUCUCUGACUGCGAUUAGUGGACUUUGUAUCCUGCUUUAUAGGUGGGGGUUAGUACAAUCUCAAUGCAUGUUGUAAGGUCCUGUGGUCAUGGGGCAUCUCUGAUGUCUGUCUAAAAAUUGUAUCCAUAUCAUAAAAGUGAUUUUUAUAGUGAUUUCACAUAAAAGAGUAAUCCUUUUCAUUAGUAUUGCUCUGUGCCACUUAUCUUUCUUUUUAUCCAGUUUAUUUAUAAGCUUUAUAAAGGGUUGAAUAUACCUUUUUGUUUUGAAAGUUGUGCAUCUAGCCAAGAAAAUCAUAAAAUACUUCCUGCCAACCUUUUAAAAAUAGAAAGCAAACUGCCUACAGUUCUUUAUUUUACCUUCUAAAGGGUGUAUACAUAAGGUCUAAAAUAAUGAAACCCAGCACAGCUGGUGCUUUUUUAAAAACCUGAACAUGAGAAAUAGAAUGAAAAGUGGAAGAUACAGUGGCAGAAAGCUAAAGGAUCUUUUACUGGGGAUCAGCGAUUUCAUUUUGGUGGUGUACAUUUUACUCUUAAGCCUUGUAUGCAUGAUACACAUUCCUGGUCUUUUCAGAGUCUUCUUCCUGUUUCCCACCACUGUUUGUUCUUCCUUCUCUUCUGUUUCACUCAAACCUGAAGUGUUGGUGAUGGUGAUCGAAGACCUGUGAAGGAAACCCAUUCAUCCUCUAUGGCUCUUUUCAUGAUCUUUGAGAAGAGAAAAACUCCUUAUAGGAGGUGCCUUCCACCUUCAGAGUGAGUGAACAUUAGCUCUGAGUAAUUCACACAGCAUUUAUUUCUGCUACUACUUUAGCCUGCAAGGGAAGCACUUGUCGCUUCCCCUUGUGACAGUCUCCUUGUCACCCUCCUGCCUCCAACUUUGCUGGUGUUUUGAGUAAAGCUUCUUGCUUUCAUAUCCAAUGGGAAUAUUGAUGUACUAUAAAGAAGGAUAAAUUCACAUCAUUUGUGUGAAAAUAGAUGCACCUUGAAUCCAUAAUGUUAAGUGAAAUAAACCAGGCACACAACAUUAAAAAUCACAUAGUUUCUUUUAUAUGAGAAAUGCAAAAUGUACUUUAAUCAAAGAGCAAAAUAAAAGAUGGACAAUAAGCAAUAGAUCUUUGGCAAUAGAGAAGGAGAUUAAGAGAUGAGAGAGGAAAUGUAAAAUGAAAUAUGAUGUCUCAUGUAUAAACACCAUGUCUCCAGGUAGUGUGGAAUUAUUAUGUACCACAAGCAUAUAUAUACAUAUAUGUCUUCCACCAGUGUUUGGUUUUCUCCAUGUACAUAUGGAGAGAGAGAGAGAGAGCGAAGAAGAGACAUAGAGGGAGGGAAGAAGAAAAAGAAGAAGAAGAAGAAGAAGAAAGAAGAAAAGAAGAAGAGGAGGAGGAGAAAGAGGUCAGGAAGUUGUUGAUUUCGUCUUUUCCCAUUCAGGUUUCAAUUCAGCAUGAUAAGGUAUAUUUUCCGGUAGCUCUGGAAGAUUGUCCUGUUCUCUGCUUGUUCUCACAUAUUUUACUUUGAGACUAUAUUUCUUUGUCCACUCUGUAACUUAGUUAUGUUUCUGGUUUCUUUUCUCUAGGAAAAAUUGAUUUUUAAAAAAUGAAAAGAAGCCUGUAGUGACUCUCCUAGGUAAUUUCUUCAUGCGCCUCUCGACUUUUAUUUCCCUUCUUUGUAAAACUUAAAAUGAAAAGCUCCUUGUAAGGACCCUUCCCAUGUUACCUCCCAGGAAGUGGCGUCAGCACUUCUGCUGGUGCCCACAUACAUUUUUGUAAAAAAAAAAAAACAAACUCCAACUUAUGCUUUGAAAUUAUUAUUAUUAAGAUAAAGAAAUGUAGAGGCAAAAUUUGUAUUUGAUGUGUUUUUUUUUUAAACCAGGAAUCAAACUCAGGACUUCACCCUUGUGUAUUUGUAUUUGAGAUCCUCUUUCAACUUUAAAAAUCAAUAGCUUCCUAAGCUUCACACCAUUUCUUUGAGUGACAGAGUCACCUUCAUUUAAAAAGUGAAGUUUGCACUCAUGCAGAGCAUGCACACACAUGUGCACACACAGAGUCAAGCAUUCGUGGUCAGAUGGGUGUCUUCCUUGAGUCCCUUUGUGCCAUUUGCUAGAUAAAUUGCUAGCCCUAUUGCCUGACCAUAAUGUCAAGAUAUAAGUGGGCCAUUAAAUUCUGCUGGUGGAUGGAGACAAGCUCAAAAUAAAAAUAUAAAGAAUAGUAUAUGACCUGAAUUGUGUUACAAUGAGAGUAAUUUAUAAUUACCCUGAAGGCAAUGUGAAAGGGAAAAAAAAACUAUUGUAAAUAACUUUGAUAAACAGUGUGUUUACUAACCACUAGUUGGCUGAAGGAAGGCAAAAAAAAAAAAAAGUAUAGAAAUACCAUACAUACUCUCAUACUCUAGUUUGUGAUUUUUUUCCUUCAGUGGGCUAUGAACUAGUCAUUCUGAAACUAUUACUUUAUGUAUACACUAGGGUUGAACAACACACAAAUACACAGCAGAUGAUGAGAGCCAGGAUACUCUUGAGAGACAAGACUGAAGUGAACACUAGUGUUGAAUUGUGGUUGGAGUCACCAUAUGAAUUCAUUCUUUUUAAUGUGUAGACAAGAAAUGUAGAUGGAUGUGUAUGUGACCAUGUUUGGGCCACUGUACAUGCCAUAUAUUUCCUAGUUCUGCCUGCUAAAAGGAUCAAGAGGCAGUGAUAUCUCACUAGCAGAAACCAACCUUGGUUUCUAAACACUGAUCACCAGGGAAAAGAACCCUGGUGCCAUUGAGAAGAGGUGGGUUCUAGUCCUGGGGAAAAUAUAAGAUAGGCCCAGAACAUCUUGCAUUGCCAGAAAAUAAGGAAGCGCUCAUGUAGAGGAGGACUACUAGGCGGACAACCCAGCCACCCUGGAGGGAGUUCUCAUGCCCAACCUGGAACAGUUGGAACCAGAAAAUGAUAACAUUAGAUUAUGCCCAGAGAGUUAAAUGAAAAUCUUAUUUUAAAUGAAUAUCCAUGUGCUCAUCGAACAGUCUUUAAUGAGAGAAAUACUGUAUGUGAAUUAGCAGGUAUAAAAAGUCAGGGGAGUAGAAAACCAGCAUCAGGCAAGGAGCCCAGUAGUUAUUGUUGCAUGCAAGAUCCAUUGAUGGAUGUCAAGAUUAGUUGUUGAAAGCUUGAGGAGAAACAGGAUAUUUGCAUAGUCUGAAAGUAUCUUUCCCAAGAUAUUAAUUAUAAAGGAAAAAGUAGUAGCUUCUAUGGAAUUAAUAUCCAGCAGAUACCAUCUUAGUGGAAUUAUGAUGAUUGGCCUCACCCCUGAUAAGAGACAUGGGCAUCGUGAAGCCUCUAAAGUACCAAGGAAAACCUUGUCACUUCUCAGCAUCCUCCAUCAAAUCCUUAAGCUUAUUGUAAACGUAAGAAACCCCUAGUCAAAUUGAAUGGUAGUCUACAGACCAACUGAUCUGUUCACUUUGAGAUAUUGAAAUCCUGGAAUUAGAAAAAGGAUGAUAGAAGGGAUCUAGUGAAACUUGAAUAUGGUCUAUCCUGUAGUUUAAUUAGUCCCAGUGUUAAUGUUGAAGUCCUGGUUUGGGUAAUUAUGAUGUUGCUACCUAAGAUCUUCACAAGAAGGAGAAGUUGGGGGAAAGGUUUACUGGAACUAUUUGUGCAACUUUUUUGUAAUUGUGAAAUUAUUUAAAAAGAAAAGGAAAGAUGCUGAAGAGUUAAAGGUGCAAAAUGUAUGUUCAAAGACAUUAAUUGCAGCACUGUUUAUAAUAGCAAAAUGUUGUAACACUGAUGUCCACAGUGAAGGGUUAGGUAUAUUGUACUGCAUUCUGAUGUUGAAUAUAUUUUAAAAAAUGAUGACAUGGAAUUAUGUAUGCUAAUAUAUAAAGAGAAAGACUCAAGUGUAGAUGGUAUUUACUCAAGAUGCCUAUCGUUCAAAUCCCAUCCUUGAUAAUUAAAACUAAUUCUAAGACUUUGGGCAAAUUAUUCUUCUUCCCUCUCAUCAUCAGUUUCCUCAUGUGUAAAUUAAUACAAAUAAUAUCUGGUUAAGAGCUGGCCAUGAAGAUAAAUGUAAAAAAUCAUGUGAAGCCCUCAGGGUGAUACUUAGCCUAUUAUAAAUAUUUGAUGAAACAAUUAGUAGUGUGUUAUUUUAAAGGAAUAAAUGCCAGAAAACCUCCAGUACAACAUUAAGUAUGAGAUGAUACCAAUUCCAUUAACAUUCCUAUAUGUGAAUUGUGAAGUCUAGAAACUGUAUGUCAAUCAAUGAUAGGGUGUUGGGGUACAACAUCUUAGGGUCCUGCUUUCUAAGUUACUAUGUUAACAUUCAUCUUCCUAAAACAUGAAGUUAGAGAAAUAGCCACAGCAAAGGUAAAAUAAACCUGCUGUUUACUAUCAAAUAAAAAUAAGCAAAGAGAAGUGUAUCCUUAAGGCUCGAGUCUUGGGGAGUCACCAAGAUCAUUGACACAGUCGAAAGCACAGCAGGCUUUGCUGUGUCCUCAGCUGCUUAAAACUAGAAGAUGCCUGCAAUCCUCUGGAAUAUAGUCUUUACUGGAAGAUUAAUUUAGUAUCCUAUUGUUUAAUCGCAGCUGUGGAAGGUUAUCAUGUGUAUGGGUGUAACCAGCUCUUUGUCUUCAUGGGACAUAAACCAAAAGGCUAGGUAGCUGAAGUAAUUCCAGUUAUUUUCAUUACCUGGAGAAGAGCACCUGAAUGGUGCUUUAAUCUCUAAGCUUCUACCGCUUUUUCUCGCUAGUUUGGUGAUGGCUAGCUUGAGUUAUGAUAGGAGCCACAAUUUACUAACAGCACAUAUUUUCCAAGAAUGUUUAUAUUUAUAAAUAUAAACUUUAGCUGUGACUUGUAAGUUAUUUAUGACUGUAAAGGUUUAGGAUUUGUGUUUUUCUGUGCUUGUGUCAGUGCUUAUGUUGUUUUGAUACUCUUCAGAGUUCUGUGCAUUUUGUCUGACCGCUCUUAUUGAAGUCUACACAAAUCUGCAGCAAAUUUUAAGACUUUUUCUAUCUUUGAGGUUUGGGGCUAUACAGUAAUGGAUUUUGUUUUCAGAAAAUGUUGUUUUAUUUGACAUAGUAAUUGUACGUAUGUAUGGAGUAGCGUGUGAUAUUUUGAUACAUAUAUACAUUGUUAAUGCUCAAAUCAAAGUGUACUGGUUUUUAAAAGGACCACAGGGGCAAAACGGGGAUGAAAUGUCAAAAAACAGUUUGUGGUAAGGAAAUAGGAAGACCAUUUCAAGAAAUUAGAAUAAAAGGCAAAAUACUCUUACUCUCUUGCAUUUAUGAUUCCUUCCCAUCCUCCUCCCUCCUCCACCCUCCCUUCCUCUCCCUUCUUCCGCUGCAUGUGGUCACUGUUUCACCUGUCAGUAACAGGAGGGAAGAGCAUUUUUCUUUCACAAUAAAAUUAGGUGCAGUGCACUGAAGCUCCUAUUUCUGUGUUGUAAUCUCUGGGGAGCUUAAAGUAGAUAGGACAGGGCUUCUUAUAAUGCACCAAACCAUGGAUGCUGGUAGGUAAUUUGUCUAGGAUUGAGUUUUAGAAUAUUACCUAUUAAGCAUACUGAUACUGCUUCAAUGUUUUUGUGGAAUUUUUUCAUUCACUUGUCAAACUUCGGCUUCUUAAACUUUAUGCUUUUAAUAUGGGAAUAAAAUUGGCCAACGCUGGUGGUGUGGCUUACAUGAGCCAUUGCAGUGUAAAUUGGGAUCAAACAGUAACAAGCUCUAAAGAAAGAACCAUGGGCUUUUGGAAGCAGGUCAUCUUACAGUUCUAACCCUGCCACUUACUGGCUUUGUGACACAGGGCAAACGCACAGUGCUUUCUGAAGCUCCUUUCUCCAAUUGUUGGAUAUAACAUCCCUUUCUUAUAACUGUUCCCUGUAAUUUCUUUAUGGUAGUUGUUACAAACACUAAAUGAGAUUUACAUGUAAGAAAUUUUUACCACAUCCUGUGCCUCCUAAUUUGUACCUUUAUGGGAUCCUUCCUCACUUUACCCCCCCCCCCCGCACCUCAUUUGUUCUAAUCUAUGUCCUACUCAGGGAUAUGUUUUCUAAAAUUAAAAACAAACAAAAAAUACAACAGAAAACUUAGUCUCCUUUUAUAUUUGGUUCUGAAAUAUUAGGAAGUUUUAUUUCUUCCUUUCAGUUCCUUCAUUCCUUGUUGACUUUGUGCCAAGACUUCUUUCUGGAGGGGAGGAAACUUUCCGCUUUCAGGAGAAAACCCAGUGAAUUCAGCUCUCAGGAAUGGUAGGAGACCUGGGAGAGCUCCAGGGACAAAGGGGGAACUGAAGUUCAGAGAGCUGGAAGGUGGGAUCAGGAUUCCUACAAGAGAUGCUUUCCUAGAAGAGAUGCUCAAGGAACUUAGGACAAAUCAAAAGCAAAGGAUCAUUGGUAGAGGGAAUACUGUAUUCAUUUAGAUGUGCAAAUAGCAGAGAAAAUGAUUUCUGGGUGACUCCUUGCAUGUAGGUGCUUGGUUAAGGACCAUUUCACUGGUUCUAAGAAUGAAGAGCAGUCUUAUUAGAAAUGGAAAUAAUCUUGAAAGGAUGUUGGCCUAAACUGAUAUCCCUACAAUUUCAGAUGAGGGAACUGAAGAGUUAUCAAGGGUGUUAGGUUUUAGAGAAACGGAGACCUCUUCUGAGUCAACCAAACUUUUCCUGCUGUGAUAGGAAUACAGUGAUCUUAACUGAUAAAAACACACUUAGAGAAUGGACCAGAGAUAUGGUGUAUUCUCCAGGGACAUUUUACAAAUGAAACAUGAGACAUUUUUGUCAUUGCAGCUGGAGAAGGUCUCUGUAAGAUAUCAGAAUGACAAGGAGAAGUGAAGUAGAGCAAAGAAGAGAGGUGUGGUUGAAUUCUGAGGGGAGAGGGAUUAAGUUGCUGAAACUUAGCUACUAGAGCAGUGCAGAGAUGAUCCAGGCUGAGUUAACAACCAAGACCUGUCGACAUGGAGCCACUGCCAGUGUCCGGUUCUGCAGGCCAUUUGGCUGUCCGGGCUGGAAUCAAGGGAAACACAGCUGAGCAGUGCCCUUGGGGAGGUGGCCAGGGGAAGCUCCCUGGAGAGCGCUCAUUGGUGGCCUGAGGACUUCUGCUUAUGCUGGAUUGCUCCCUUUGCAGCAGUCACCUCAGAGCUCACAUUGUGCAGUUUCAUUUCUAUAAAUUUCUUCAUGAACAACAAAGCAUCUAUUAUCUCUGACUUGAUGUUUCAUUACUUACGGUCUCUUGAAUCUUCUGUUGGAAAGAACUGCUUUUUAAAAGAUUGCUAGCAGUGUUAUCUUCAUUUAGUUUAGCAUCUUUAAAAAUUUAAGGGACAAGAAUGCCAGAAGACCAAGUAAUUUCAAAUGUUCUCACCAUAAAAAAAAAAAAAGUGCAUUAAUUAGCUUGAUUUGAUUGUUUCACACUGUGAAUUUACUGUUUUGUCUUAAAUAUAUAUAAUUUGACAUUGUUGAUCUUUGAUAAAAUUUAAAAAUUGAUUUACAUUUUUACCACUAAAAGUAAGAUGUAAUCCUAUAACUGUUUAUUAAUAGUGAAUGGCACUGUUAUUUAUAACAUGGAGCUAUCAUCUAUGGACUAUUAGACACACACAAAAUUGAAGUUAAAAAAUAGAUUUCAAAGUGUAUAAUUCUCUUUCUUAUUUCCAAUCCUAUAAUAAAACACAGAUGUUUUAGGACACUUUAUGGUUUACUAUAGAGUUCUAGUAAAUGCACUGUAUUUACAUUUGAUCUUUUUCAGGAUUGCCUGGCCUUUUGUUUCUUUAAAUAUGCUUGAUAUUUCCACAACCAGUCUAUAACUAAUAAUUAAGCAUGAGAACACUCAUGUUUUUCUUUAUAUAUCCUACUCUUUUUUUUCUCCACAAAGAUUUAUUUAUUGUCUAAUGUCUUUAUUUUUUCUGGGGGAAUUAUAUUGUCUCCUUGUUAGUGAUCAGAGCUGCAAAGAGUUUUCAGUCUGAAUUAAUACCUUAAUGCUUAAUCUUCCUUAUCUCUUAAAAACAUUUACCAUUAAGAUUUUAUGAAACUGAAUUUUUCCUAGUUUUCCAUAUAUGCUUUUCAAAAUUAUUUGUGAACCACAAACAUGUUUAUUAAUUAAAUUGCAUAGAGAACUAAGCCUUUAGUCAAAGUCAUUCUGAACAAUAUAUGAUAUCUAAAUAACUAAGGUCUAGCUUAGAAGAAAAAAGCAAGUAACAAUCAAAAUAGCAACAACAAAAUCUUCAUUAAGGUUAUAGUCUCAGGUGUUAUUUUGAGAAAAACAGUUAAUUAGAAUUUUUUUUUUUUUUACAAAAAAACCUUUUUUUAGAGGAGGAGUAAAAGAAUUGAGGGAUUUUCUGCUUUUUAGUAUUUUUUUUUAAAAGCAAUCCAAGAAGACCAAAAAUAACAUUUGUGAAAAAUGGCAAAUCUAUUAAAGAUAUUGUCAGCCUUUUUUAACCUGUAAAAGGUUUAUAUCUAUGUGAUGGAGCUGACAUUCUAAGUUCUAGUAUGAGUCUCCAUUUGAAGCUCAGAGUCGGGAUGUCAGUUUGAAACUCUCCUACCUGCUUGUUUAGUUAAAUCUACGAUAGAAUUCAUAUUUCUUAUAGUGAUGGGAUAUUCCCAAUGUAAUGUGUAGUAUGUGUGGCAGGUCUUCUUAUAAUGUGGUUACUGUGUGAAUUUAAAUAUAUAAGCUAUUGCUUUUGUCCCCAGCAAAAGCAGUGGUGUAAAAAUACCGUGAAUCAGCAUUUUUAUUCUUGACAAUGUAAAUGUUAUCUAAUCAUAGGACAGUAGAGUUGGAAUUCAUCCUUGAUCUCAGUGAACCAUCUCAUAAGAGAGAAAAGGGAUUUCAAAGAUAGAAAAUGACUUCUUCAAAGCCCAGUUGUUGUGCGUAGGAAAAGACAGAAUAGAGAGGAGUAAUGCUGCUCCUUCUUUUUCAUUGCUGUUGAUUCCCAACUGUCAGGAUGCCUCUGAUUGGCAGGGACACGCAAAACUGGUUACCUGAAAAGUGUGACAGUUGCCGGUGAUGUUGAGCUAUGGAAGUGUAAUAUUCAGUUCUGGGCUUGUGAAUCUUUUCUUAUGACUCCAUUUCAGGCAACUGGCUCUCCUAAUUCCUAUUCCAUUACCUUCUUUUAAUCUCACACCAAUUGAGUCAUUUAAAGUGAAGCACGGGUAAUGCUUACUCCCAUCUGUAGAUAGAAAAGACGUGUACAAGCAAUUCUUAUUGGUCAUGGAUUGGGUAGAGGAAGCCUAUACUAUCUGUAGAAAACCUGUUUGCUAAGGAUGUAUGCAGGGAAACACAUAAUCAGGUAUGUCAGCAUCGAUGCUGAAAGUAUUCCCCAUUAGGCAAGUUUUGUGUAUUUCUUCUGCUAAAGUUCAAGAUACUGUGGCUAUAGAAUUAGAAAGUAAUAAAAUAGAGAAAAACUGUACCCUAGGAAGAAUUUUAAGUACAUAUUUUCUCCCUAAAUUAUGUCUGCAAGACUAAUCUAUAGACAUAUAUGCAUCAUAAAAUCAUAUACUUUAUGAGUAAUUUACUGCACUGAAAAUAGCAGACAGAGGGCAUAGCUGAGUGGCAGAGUACUUGUCUAACAUACACAAAGUCCUAGUUUGAUGCCCAGCAAUGUGAGGGAGAGAAAACAAUAGAGCAGAGAAUCUGGGUUCAAGUUAAUGUUCUUCUAUUUUCUAAUGGUGGGCCCUAAGGUUCUCAUUUAUGAAUAGCAUUUCUCAAAUGUGACUAUUGGAAUAUAUAUUGGAAAGAACCUCAGGAGAAAUAGUAGCCAUCUUUUGCCUCCUAGAGAACUUGGAUUUUAAUUGAUUUAGGAUGGUAUUUUUAAAGCUCCCUAAGUGAUUCUAAUGGAAAAAAUAGGCAACAACUAAAGACUGUGCAGUCCUUUUCAAGUUCUAGUACUUUGAAAUCUUGAGUAUUUUAAAAUUUCAUCUCCUAGGGGCUGGGGAUUUAGCUCAGCGGCAUAAGUGCCUGCUUGCAAGCAGUCAGUCGUGAGUUCGAUCCCUGGUACCGAUAAAAACGAAAAAGACAAAAAAAAAAAAGAAAGAAAGAAAAAAAAAUUUCAUCUCCUCUAGUCUCAUGCUCAGCAUAAUCAUCUCUUCACAUUUGAGAAACAGCACCGUGUUUCUCUAUGAACAUCCAUGUGGGAGUUACUUAUUUAAGUUUUUCCUAAUAGCAUAAUUUGGCUUUGGAACAUUGUCUAAUUCCUAUGUAUUUGAUGAUCUUUGAGUGCUUGAAGAUUAUUUGUAUGAUUCAGCGGAGUUAACUGUUGUUAUACGACAUUAUUUUCAUAUCCCAACAUGUAGUUUGUUUUGUUCUGGGCAUGAUCUGUCUCUUAGAGAUGAACACCAUCCUUUUGAAGAUCAGAAGAGGAGCAGAGGGUUUUUGAUGAUUGAGCCCCUCUUAAACAUUGAUUGAGAUACAAUUAGUAAAAGACUUUUUGUUUAUUGCACUUACUGAUCUACAGAUACAUCUUCUUAUGAGUGCAGUAGAAAAUGAAAUUCGCAGCAUUUGAGUUCUCUGUACCAGCCACAUCUUUCUAGGAUUUAUAUUAACACAUUUCAUUUUUGCAAUGGCAUUUAUUUAUUUAUUAUUUUAAAAGGAAUAGAACAAACCAAUAAAGUGAAACAAAACAAAACAAUGAGAACCUGAUAUUUGAUUUCAAAAAGAAAACAGUAGGGAAUUCACCAUAGUCACUAUAUUGCAUAUAAGUAUCCUCUACAUAGUUGCUCAGACUACUGACUUUAGGCUUUCAAAGUGAAUCAAACAAUACAAGCAUUAGCAUUGUUUCUUUACUUCUGUUGUUAGCAUCUUAGCCUGUGUUCCUCCAAAUCAGCAGGUUGCUUAAGGCAGGGGAUAGUGUUCUCUUUCUAUACCUGCCCAGGCAGUGGCUGGCUCAUGCAGGUGGAGGUGGAGCAUGUAGCUUCUUUCCUGGUUCAUCCCAGUCUGUGGGCCUCCGUUGGCUCAAGGAGGAUGGGUAGGUGUGUGGCUUGUCAAUAGUAUUUAUGAAGCAAGUGUCAUUAUUAUCUUUAUUUAAUAUAUAGAAAGAAAGAAUAAGUGGAGCAGAGCAAGUGAUCAUCUUGCCUCUUGUUUCACAUUGGGUGGCAGAGUUAGAAUGUUUGUUGAUGGCUCCAUAGCCUGGUCCUCUUAGCCUUUCAGCAGAGCAUUUUUUGUCUGUAAAAUAAAGAGUGCUGAUUUCUAAAUACCUUAUCAACUUCAAAAUUUCUUGUAACUCUAAGUAAAUUUAAUAAUAAUUAUGCCAAUACCUUUACAUAGUAUAUCAAAAAGUCUUUGGUCUCUUAGUCCUAUUUCUGAACUAACUAUGUGAAGAACUAUUUACUUUAUUUGAUCCUAAAUCAUAAAUACCCUUACCUGAAUUUACACAUCAAGCUAAUCUUUUUUAUUUAGUAAAAUAUAAAAAAAUUAGAUUCCAUUCAUUCAUUCUUCUGAAAAUCAGGAGAUAGUAUAUUGAUAGAAUCUUGCAGUAUUCUAGAAUCUAGAGUUUGCACAAAAUCAGAGACUCCUGAAAUCUAUUACAAUUUGGCAGCUACAGAAGGUGGAUGGAUAAUAUAAAUUUAUGUUUGAUAAGCUAAAACUUAAUAGUAUGCUGUUAUAAGAAACUUCUAAAGUUCUUUACAUAAAGUAGCUGAUAUGUCAAUUAUAAAUUAUUUUCAUUCUUUAAAUUUUAAUAAAUUCUCCUAGAAAAUCUUUGUUAAAUUUAAAAAUUUUAAAACACGAUUUUUACAUCUAGAGUGAGUGGUUUUUCAGUUUACUCAAGACUGAAGUUUUCUGACGGUAUAUCACUGAAAAAUACAUAAAUAACCCUUGUUUAUAUCCAAUAACCCUGUGUUCUCACAGUUUAGCCAUCCUAAGAAAUUUGUCUUGCUUCUAUCCGGUAUUGUUUCUUAGUGUUUGUAUAAUUCAUUCUGAAACCUCUGGCUUUUUGUUCAAGGCUUGUGUGUUCUAGGUUGCCAGUACAAAUCAUGCUACACAGGACUAGAACACUUCAGAAAAAAAUGGUGCUAGUGGAGCUUCACUCCAUCUGAUGACUGCAGCUUCAGGUGUCUUUAUAGGACUCUUAAAGAACAUAAAGUGUGGAGGUUGUGAAUAAAACAUUCUGUCCACUGUGAGUCUACGUGGAUUCAUUUGCAUUCCAUUUGUCAGCUCAGUGUAUUACCCUGAAUGAGUUUUGUGAGCCUUGCACUAUCACUUCAGAACAUGUCUGCUGAGGCUGGGUGGUCCUGCGCACAUGUGGCAGUAUUACCCUCUAAAUUACUGGGUUCAGGAAUAUAAAGAAGAGAACACUCUUUGAUGUGAAAGUCUGAUUUUCAUUUUAACAGCAGAAUUUUACGUUUUCAUCCCAGAUGAGGACUGUUGCUUUUGUAGUACAAAAAGCCUUUGUAAUGACACUGCUGUUCUUUAGAAGCUUUUGAUUUUAGCUGUAGAAAAAAUGAUUUAACACCUUAAAAAAAUCACAAUGAGAAAUUUUGGUGUUUUUGUUGGUACUCAUAUUUACAGUUAUAGAUUCAUAGAAUGAAAAUACAGGAGAUUUUGAGAAAUAUUGUAACCCAACCACUUCAUUUUAUAGGUACCUCUCAGCACUAUGCCUUUGUUUCAGAAGAAAACAGGAAAUAUCAAACUCCAGGAGGAAAAGGACUUGAUUUACCAUAUUUAGUGUGUUUGUACCCCAGUAGGAAUUCAGUUGGGUUUGCUUAGUGAAUCAAUCAAGAACCUAGGUUUUAGGAAGAGAAAAGAUGCCAAAGUUAUCCUCUUAGUAAUUACCAGAAUAUAAUCUAGAAACAUUAUCUUCUGACUACAAAUUCUGUACGUUUCCCCAGGAUUUAAGAAAAUAGACUUUUACUUAGGAACCUUAAUGUUUAUAAAUGAUCACAUGCAGUUUACCUUAAUACUACUUUUCAGGCAUAUAAACUAUCUUAUUAAAGCUUUAUUGUACCACUUUUUGAAAAUACUUUUAUCCAUAUUUUAUAGAUAAAAAAACUGGGCUGUACAGAAUCAGACCUAAGACCCAUCAAGUUUUUCUGCUCCAAAUUUAGUGAUCUAUUUUUGCCUUUUACAUGGGGCACAGAGUUAUUCAGUCCCUUAAGGAACUAUAACUGAAAUUAUUUUUCCAGCACCUUGUAAAUUAGAGACUUUAAUACCAGUAUCUCUGUUCAGUGCUAACUUAGCCCUAGGGCUCUGUAUUAGAAAGCCAGCAUAAAAGGCAUAGCUUCUCAGCUUCUCUGGUAUAUGAUUUUAGACUUUGGCCUCCUGUGUGGUCUGAUUUGAAGGGCUUCUGUGCUCUUUUUUCUUUUCUUUCUCAUUUUCCCAUAAUUAGAUUUUCAUUUCCUCAUUUUUGUUCUAAAUGACUUGUGGGCUUCAAGACUUUCCUACUAAAUUGCAGAUACUACUGGGGGAAAAUGGUAUUAAAACUUAUUUGAGGAUUAACAUCCAGAGCUGGGAAAGGAACAUGACCUUUUCCUGGUUUCUGUUAAGGAGACAGUGGAGGGAAUGAUGAAUGUGGAAUGAUGUAGAGGCCAUGGUGACAUGACACUAAAGAAAAGCUUCUUUAUCCAGGCUCAGCCAGCUUGUUUCUUGGGUGCCUGGAAUAAUGUCAUUAUAUCUCCACUUUUCUGUGUAAACUCAUCUGUCAGCCAUUUUUUUGGCAAAGGUCAAGCAUGAGUAAUACCACCGUCUAUUCCCAACGCAUAGGGAUUUAAAGAUGGGGAUGGAAUUCUGCAGCACUGCGGUUGGGUGCAGGGGAGAGCAGGCUGUCCACAGGAUUUGCCAGGUUCCUAUCUUCAUUUACCACUUUUAUUUCUCAACUGUGGCUGUUCCAAUGUUUGUUUAUUCUAGAAGGAUUAUUAGAAACGUGAAACUUAGAAAAUUAUAAUCAUGAAAAGUAGAUCUCAAUUUUUAAAAGGGAUUUUGCAUUUCUUUUUCUAUUAAAAUUCUAUAGUUUUUACCUGGUAACCAGUCCUUAUAAUAUACCUUUUUGUGUAAAAUGCAUGUUUACCAAAAGUAGUAUGAAACUCAGAAAUGAAUCUAUAAUGUGGCAAGUUUAUUCUCUCUUGUAAUCAAGUUUGUCAUUAUAAUCUGUGCUCCAGCUUCCAUUUUGUUCUUUUUUAUUCUUCAUUGGCUGAAGAAUCAAGAGGAAGAGAUGGAUUAUUAUCAAGAAAAAGUACUUGUUGGUCAUCCUCUGCUUGCUUGCUUCUCCUUCCUUGAUAUUUUGGCUUCCAGUAGUGGAGGCUGUGAUAGAAGAGGGCCACCUGCUGUUCUGCCUCUGUGUACACAGGCUGCUCUAUCCAUCUAAGGCUUGCCUCCCCCCCCCCAUACCCUUUGAAGUUUGAGCUGACUUGUGAGACAGAGUGGGGCAGAAAUGAUGCUGUGUGAAGUUUUUGUAAUCCUUCAGAGACCUGGAAGGUUCUGAGUCAAGAUGAGGAAGAAAGUCCAGGUUAUCCUGCUGGAGGGAAAAGCUACACAUACUAGCAUGGAGGUGAUAUACCUUACUGCCUGCACCCUACCAGGCAUGGAACUGGGAGGUCUUGGGUCCUGCACUUCAGGGAGAGCCCAGCCAGUCAUGUCAAACCAAAUCAAGCCAUCCUUACUGAGUUCUGCCCCUGGAUACUCAUGCACACUGCAAAUAUUUUAAGCCACUGACUUUCUUGGUAGCUGGUGACAGAGUGAUAGAUUACUGAGACGGGAUUUGUAUCUUCCCAAUCUUCCUUAUUUUCUGACAUCUGUUUGCUAUUUGUCCAAGUACUUCUAAGGCACUGCAGUACUUAGGGAUCUGCCAACUGGUCAGUAUUUUUAUGUACAGAUCCCUUAAGCAUAGCAGCUGCUUCUCACCUAGUAGUUAGUGGCAUUUUAAAAUCAUGUUUACAUCUGUCUUCAUUUGGAGUAGUUGUGUCUGCUGACAUGGGCACAGUGGCAAUGUCUCAUAGCUGUAGAUAGGAGACAAAAAAUUACCCCUCUCUUUAAAAAGAAAAAUAAAAAGAUGACAUUAUUUCUAGAGUCUAUUUCCUGCCACUAUGUGUAACUUUGCCUCUUAGAUUCUUUGGAUAGCUUAAACAUUCUACUUAUUGAUGGAUGAGGAACAACACGAAAAA
This is a long non-coding RNA of Cavia porcellus (domestic guinea pig), 30623 nucleotides long. RefSeq lists it as uncharacterized. The transcript has 2 exons. NCBI's taxonomy places the organism in Eukaryota, Metazoa, Chordata, Mammalia, Rodentia, Caviidae. The record is from RefSeq and is a predicted model, not a curated record.